UUUGGCAUCGCACAAAAUGAAAUUGGAACCAUAUAGAAAAGGUUAGCAGGGCCCCUGUGAGGGGAUAGCACACAAAUUCAUGAAGUAUUCCAGAUAGAA
RNAcentral lists this small nuclear RNA (99 nucleotides) under Podarcis muralis (Common wall lizard). Lineage: Eukaryota; Metazoa; Chordata; Lepidosauria; Squamata; Lacertidae. The record is from RNAcentral.